CCGCAAUUGCCGUAGCAGGGUUUCGGGCACGCAAAAGUGUCCGGAUGAAAAAGGAACCGUGUGCAACUCACGGGCUGACGCGCAACUGUAAGUAACUGCCGCUGGGCUACCCACACCACGCCAUUACGGCCCUCGCGGCCGUGAGAAGGCGGGUAGUCUCGUUACAAGCCAGGAGACUUGCCGUGCUACGACGUGACAU
RNAcentral lists this non-coding RNA (199 nucleotides) under Hymenobacter sp. RNAcentral also lists the same sequence under 1 other name. Lineage: Bacteria; Pseudomonadati; Bacteroidota; Cytophagia; Cytophagales; Hymenobacteraceae. The record is from RNAcentral.